Molecule: ribosomal RNA, 546 nt
Filed under: Notropis atherinoides (emerald shiner)
Lineage: Eukaryota; Metazoa; Chordata; Actinopteri; Cypriniformes; Leuciscidae
Description: partial large subunit ribosomal RNA
Rfam family: Bacterial large subunit ribosomal RNA
Source: RNAcentral
CGCCUCCUGCAGCAUAAAGUAUAGGAGGUCCAGCCUGCCCAGUGACUACGGGUUCAACGGCCGCGGUAUAUUGACCGUGCAAAGGUAGCGCAAUCACUUGUCUUUUAAAUAGAGACCUGUAUGAAUGGCUAGACGAGGGCUUAACUGUCUCCCCCCUCCAGUCAGUGAAAUUGAUCUAUCCGUGCAGAAGCGGGUAUAGUACUACAAGACGAGAAGACCCUUUGGAGCUUAAGGUACAGAAUUCAGCCACGUUAAGCAACUCCGUAAACAGCAAGAACUUAGUGGUCAUGAAAUUUUACCUUCGGUUGGGGCGACCGCGGAGGAAAAGCAAGCCUCCGAGUGGACUGGGCCGAGACCCUAAAGCCAAGAGAAACAUCUUCAAGCCGCAGAACAUCUGACCAAUAAUGAUCCGGCUAAAAAGCCGAUCAACGGACCAAGUUACCCUAGGGAUAACAGCGCAAUCCUCUCCCAGAGCCCAUAUCGACGAGGGGGUUUACGACCUCGAUGUUGGAUCAGGACAUCCUGGUGGUGCAGCCGCUAUUAAGG